Molecule: non-coding RNA, 188 nt
Organism: Candidatus Burkholderia pumila
Lineage: Bacteria; Pseudomonadati; Pseudomonadota; Betaproteobacteria; Burkholderiales; Burkholderiaceae
Source: Rfam
GAAAGGGCGACUGAUCGUGGGGAGGAAGCAUGGGGCAUAAAUCGCGAGCCGAUGAACAAGAAUCGCAUAGAAGGCGCUGCCGAACAGGGCGAGCGGGCACAAAACCGCGAAGCUUUCGUGACCAAAGUGAAGCGUAAGCGAUCGAUAUCGACGUCUAUCCAACGGCACUCUGAGCGAGGAGUAUAGAU